RNAcentral lists this microRNA precursor (150 nucleotides) under Podarcis lilfordi (Lilford's wall lizard). The record is from RNAcentral. Lineage: Eukaryota; Metazoa; Chordata; Lepidosauria; Squamata; Lacertidae.
AUUUAGCCAGCUGAGUGGGGAGGAGAGAGGGACAGAGAGCCUGCUUGCUUUAAAGGAGCCAACCGGACAGGACCUGCUUACACCCGCUUUGCUCCUUUAAAGCUAGCAGGCUCUCUGUCCCUCUCUCCUCCCCACUCAGCGGCUCUUCUC